AGAAAAAUGAAGAGGAAGGAUUAGAUUUCUAUUUAGUAAAAAAUUGACAAUUCAUUGUCGAAGAAAGGUAUUGUUGUUAAACACUGAAAAAUUGCCAGGAAGCAAUAAAGCAAAGUACUGAGAACAGUUUGGCAAUAGUUUCCAUGGGAGAAAGUAAUCAACACAAUUUAUUAAAAACAUAUGACAAUGAUCGAUAUACCAAAGAGAAUAAUUAAACAAUCCAACACUUUUUCUU
Long non-coding RNA from Bombus huntii, 235 nucleotides. RefSeq lists it as uncharacterized. The record is from RefSeq and is a predicted model, not a curated record. NCBI's taxonomy places the organism in Eukaryota, Metazoa, Arthropoda, Insecta, Hymenoptera, Apidae. The transcript has 2 exons.